Long non-coding RNA from Lepus europaeus (European hare), 363 nucleotides. RefSeq lists it as uncharacterized. The record is from RefSeq and is a predicted model, not a curated record. Lineage: Eukaryota; Metazoa; Chordata; Mammalia; Lagomorpha; Leporidae. The transcript has 3 exons.
AGAGAAUGUGCAGAUUGCCGUCAGUGAUUUCUAAGACUCCUGAGGCUACCACAGUGUCUACUCCACAGAUUCAUGUGACCUGUGUACAUGUUGGGAGAAAAUUAGGUGGUCCAGGCCUGAGCGUGGGAAGAUAGGGAUGAAUGAGGAGCAUCUCCACCUGGUCAUGGGCUUCCGACUAGUCAUCUCUUGGAAUGACAUCUCCCUUUGCACUAGACUUGGACACAAAUGCACCAAGGCUUCCUGCUUCAUCCUGCACCUGCCUUCUUGAAAGAAAACAAGACAUCAGAUACUUAUUCAAAUAAUGGAAUAGCUGAUCAACUGGGUCUCUGCACAAUAGAGAGUUAUCCAUGAUAAAAGAACAAC